Molecule: ribosomal RNA, 253 nt
Filed under: uncultured bacterium
Lineage: Bacteria
Description: partial 16S ribosomal RNA
Rfam family: Bacterial small subunit ribosomal RNA
Source: RNAcentral
UACAGAGGGUGCAAGCGUUAAUCGGAAUUACUGGGCGUAAAGCGUGCGUAGACGGUAGCGUAAGUCGGGUGUGAAAGCCCCGGGCUCAACCUGGGAAUUGCAUUCGAGACUGCUCUGCUAGGGUGCGGAAGAGGGAAGCGGAAUUUCCGGUGUAGCGGUGAAAUGCGUAGAUAUCGGAAGGAACACCAGUGGCGAAAGCGGCUUCCUGGUCCAGCACCGACGUUCAGGCACGAAAGCGUGGGGGGCAAACAGG